RNAcentral lists this ribosomal RNA (423 nucleotides) under uncultured Nitrosomonas sp. Its description in RNAcentral is "bacterial SSU rRNA". It matches the Rfam family "Bacterial small subunit ribosomal RNA", at positions 207 to 622 of the family's 1533-position model. The record is from RNAcentral. Lineage: Bacteria; Pseudomonadati; Pseudomonadota; Betaproteobacteria; Nitrosomonadales; Nitrosomonadaceae.
AAAGACUUGCGCUAAAGGAGCGGCUGAUGUCUGAUUAGCUAGUUGGUGGGGUAAAGGCUUACCAAGGCAACGAUCAGUAGCUGGUCUGAGAGGACGACCAGCCACACUGGGACUGAGACACGGCCCAGACUCCUACGGGAGGCAGCAGUGGGGAAUUUUGGACAAUGGGCGAAAGCCUGAUCCAGCCAUGCCGCGUGAGUGAAGAAGGCCUUCGGGUUGUAAAGCUCUUUUAGUCGGAAAGAAAGAGUCAUAGUAAAUAGCUAUGAUUUAUGACGGUACCGACAGAAAAAGCACCGGCUAACUACGUGCCAGCAGCCGCGGUAAUACGUAGGGUGCGAGCGUUAAUCGGAAUUACUGGGCGUAAAGGGUGCGCAGGCGGCCUUGUAAGUCAGAUGUGAAAGCCCCGGGCUUAACCUGGGAAUU